AGUAGUGGCGAGCGAACGGGAAAGAGCCCAAACCAUACAUGUUACGGCAUAUAUGGGGUUGUAGGACCACGAGAUGUGAUUUGUAAAGUAAACUGGAACCAGGUGGGAAACUGGGCGAUAUGGGUGACAGCCCCGUACAGGUAAGCAAUACAGCGCUAGUGGUAUCCUGAGUAGGGCGGGACCGGAGGAAUCCUGCUUGAAUCUGCCAGCACCAUCUGGUAAGGCUAAAUACUCCUGAGAGACCGAUAGUGAACCAGUACUGUGAAGGAAAGGUGAAAAGAACCCCGAACAGGGGAGUGAAAAGAACCUGAAACCGUGUACUUACAAGCGGUUGGAGCAGGGUGAUCCUGUGACAGCGUGCCUUUUGCAUAAUGAGCCUACGAGUUACUCUUUACUGGCAAGGUUAAGUGAUUCAGUCACGUAGCCGCAGCGAAAGCGAGUCUGAAUAGGGCGCAGAGUCAGUAGAGGUAGACGCGAAACCUUGUGAUCUACCCUUGGGCAGGUUGAAGGUUGGGUAACACCAACUGGAGGACCGAACCGAUAAACGUUGAAAAGUUUCCGGAUGACCUGAGGGUAGGGGUGAAAGGCCAAUCAAACUGGGAAAUAGCUCGUACUCCCCGAAAUGUUUUUAGGAACAGCGUCGAUAUAUAGUCUUAUAGAGGUAGAGCUACCGAUUGGGUGCGGGGGAGUCAAAUCCUACCAAAUCCAGACGAACUCCGAAUGCUAUAAGAUAUGAUCGGCAGUGAGGCUUUGGGUGCUAAGGUCCAAGGCCGAGAGGGAAAGAACCCAGACCAUCAGCUAAGGUCCCCAAAUGUAGUCUAAGUUGAACUAACGAGGUCCGGUUGCCCAGACAGCUAGGAUGU
RNAcentral lists this ribosomal RNA (863 nucleotides) under Sphingobacterium litopenaei. Its description in RNAcentral is "Sphingobacterium sp. DN04309 partial 23S ribosomal RNA". It matches the Rfam family "Bacterial large subunit ribosomal RNA", at positions 242 to 1101 of the family's 2925-position model. Lineage: Bacteria; Pseudomonadati; Bacteroidota; Sphingobacteriia; Sphingobacteriales; Sphingobacteriaceae. The record is from RNAcentral.